GGCUAAUUAGUUAUAGGAAUAACGCAUGUUUUGAAAGCAUGAUAAAGAGGUUAAACUCCUCUAUUGGCCG
This 70-nucleotide transfer RNA is filed under the name Maccaffertium mediopunctatum. RNAcentral describes it as "tRNA-Ser". It matches the Rfam family "tRNA". From Rfam's summary of the family: Transfer RNA (tRNA) molecules are approximately 80 nucleotides in length. The record is from RNAcentral. Lineage: Eukaryota; Metazoa; Arthropoda; Insecta; Ephemeroptera; Heptageniidae.